RNAcentral lists this small RNA (322 nucleotides) under Histoplasma ohiense. Its description in RNAcentral is "hypothetical lncRNA". The record is from RNAcentral. Lineage: Eukaryota; Fungi; Ascomycota; Eurotiomycetes; Onygenales; Ajellomycetaceae.
GCCAUUAUCCUACCGGACCGACGGCUAGUUAGUUAUAAACAGAACUGAACAUCAAUAGAAAGAUGCCUCUUCCUGCUACCACCUGUCUUAGACCAGGAGCGCCUUCCCGCUUCUGUCGCCUUCGGCCCGCAUUCCCCUACCAUUGACCGCCUUAGCUGACUUUGAUACAUCGCCAUCGCUAGCUUGUAUCGAAGAAGCAGCUAUGGGGGACAAGUUUCUCUCCUUCUGUCCCCUUAUACGCAGUGCGAUGCAUCUCUGAUAAAAGCGAAAUCAACACCUUUCACCAUUUAUGAUCUACGAUACAUUCCGAAACAGAUGCCAG